GCCAGGCACAGUGGUGCAUGCCUGUAAUCCCAGCAGCUCCGGAGGCUGAGGCAGGAGGAUCACAAGUUCAAAGCCAGCCUCAGAAACAGCAAGGUGCUAAGCAACUCAGUGAGAUCCUGUCUCUA
RNAcentral lists this small RNA (125 nucleotides) under Marmota monax (woodchuck). Lineage: Eukaryota; Metazoa; Chordata; Mammalia; Rodentia; Sciuridae. The record is from RNAcentral.